Molecule: non-coding RNA, 135 nt
Organism: Triticum aestivum (bread wheat)
Lineage: Eukaryota; Viridiplantae; Streptophyta; Magnoliopsida; Poales; Poaceae
Source: Rfam
GAAGUACUCCCUCCGUCUGAAAAUACAUGUCAUCAAAAUGGAUAAAAAAGAAUGUAUCUAGAACUAAAAUACGUCUAAAUACAUUCACUUUUGUUCAUUUUGAUGACAAGUAUUUCCAAAUGGAGGGAGUAGUUG